Molecule: ribosomal RNA, 253 nt
Filed under: uncultured bacterium
Lineage: Bacteria
Description: partial 16S ribosomal RNA
Rfam family: Bacterial small subunit ribosomal RNA
Source: RNAcentral
UACAGAGGGGGCCAGCGUUAUUCGGAAUUAUUGGGCGUAAAGGGCGCGUAGGCGGCCUGGCAAGUGACGGGUGAAAGCCCUCGGCUCAACCGAGGAACUGCCUGUCAUACUGCCGGGCUUGAGUCCGGGAGAGGUGAGUGGAAUUCCCAGUGUAGCGGUGAAAUGCGUAGAUAUUGGGAGGAACACCAGUGGCGAAGGCGGCUCACUGGACCGGAACUGACGCUGAGGCGCGAAAGCGUGGGGAGCAAACAGG